AUUGAACGCUGGCGGCAUGCUUUACACAUGCAAGUCGAACGGCAGCGCGGGCUUCGGCCUGGCGGCGAGUGGCGAACGGGUGAGUAAUGCAUCGGAACGUGCCAGGAGUGGGGGGAAACCCGGCCAAAGCCGGGAUAAUUCCCCAUACGGACCUGGGGGGGAAACGGGGGGACGGAAGGGCCUCGCGCUUUUGGACCGGCGGAUGUCGGAUUAGCUAGUUGGUGGGGUAAAGGCUUACCAAGGCGACGAUCCGUAGCUGGUCUGAGAGGACGACCAGCCACACUGGGACUGAGACACGGCCCAGACUCCUACGGGAGGCAGCAGUGGGGAAUCUUGGACAAUGGGGGCAACCCUGAUCCAGCCAUGCCGCGUGCGGGAAGAAGGCCUUCGGGUUGUAAACCGCUUUUGUUCGGGAAGAAAUCCUCUGGGCUAAUACCCCGGGGGGAUGACGGUACCGGAAGAAUAAGCACCGGCUAACUACGUG
This 484-nucleotide ribosomal RNA is filed under the name uncultured bacterium. Its description in RNAcentral is "partial 16S ribosomal RNA". It matches the Rfam family "Bacterial small subunit ribosomal RNA", at positions 28 to 507 of the family's 1533-position model. The record is from RNAcentral.